RNAcentral lists this long non-coding RNA (205 nucleotides) under Elaeis guineensis (African oil palm). Its description in RNAcentral is "long non-coding RNA (EGUI_LNC076161)". The record is from RNAcentral. Lineage: Eukaryota; Viridiplantae; Streptophyta; Magnoliopsida; Arecales; Arecaceae.
CGGGUUUUAACUAGGUCGGGUUGGGUUGGAUACGCAGUAGGUUGGCUAAAAUUGCCAUCCCUACUUGUAAUAUUCUUUCCUUAUAAUGACUACUACAAAAUACAAUCUUUUCUUUAAAAUUUUAAACAUCUUUUCCUUUGUGUACUCAUCUCUGCUUGCAUUCAUCAAUCAAAGCAACACUUGAGGAGUACUUUAGUACCAUAGC